This 73-nucleotide transfer RNA is filed under the name Ovis aries (sheep). It matches the Rfam family "tRNA". From Rfam's summary of the family: Transfer RNA (tRNA) molecules are approximately 80 nucleotides in length. Their secondary structure includes four short double-helical elements and three loops (D, anti-codon, and T loops). Further hydrogen bonds mediate the characteristic L-shaped molecular structure. tRNAs have two regions of fundamental functional importance: the anti-codon, which is responsible for specific mRNA codon recognition, and the 3' end, to which the tRNAs corresponding amino acid is attached (by aminoacyl-tRNA synthetases). tRNAs cope with the degeneracy of the genetic code in two manners: having more than one tRNA (with a specific anti-codon) for a particular amino acid; and 'wobble' base-pairing, i.e. permitting non-standard base-pairing at the 3rd anti-codon position. The record is from Rfam by way of RNAcentral. Lineage: Eukaryota; Metazoa; Chordata; Mammalia; Artiodactyla; Bovidae.
UCCCUGGUGGUCCAGUGGUUAGGACUCUGCUCUCUCACUGCUGAGGGCCUGGGUUCGAUCUCUGGUUGGGGGA